GAUGAACGCUGGCGGCGUGCCUAAUACAUGCAAGUCGAGCGAACAGAUGAGGAGCUUGCUCCUCUGACGUUAGCGGCGGACGGGUGAGUAACACGUGGAUAACCUACCUAAGACUGGGAUAACUUCGGGAAACCGGAGCUAAUACCGGAUAAUAUAUUGAACCGCAUGGUUCAAUAGUGAAAGACGGUUUUGCUGUCACUUAUAGAUGGAUCCGCGCCGCAUUAGCUAGUUGGUAAGGUAACGGCUUACCAAGGCGACGAUGCGUAGCCGACCUGAGAGGGUGAUCGGCCACACUGGAACUGAGACACGGUCCAGACUCCUACGGGAGGCAGCAGUAGGGAAUCUUCCGCAAUGGGCGAAAGCCUGACGGAGCAACGCCGCGUGAGUGAUGAAGGUCUUCGGAUCGUAAAACUCUGUUAUUAGGGAAGAACAAAUGUGUAAGUAACUAUGCACGUCUUGACGGUACCUAAUCAGAAAGCCACGGCUAACUACGUG
This 495-nucleotide ribosomal RNA is filed under the name uncultured bacterium. RNAcentral's name for it is "partial 16S ribosomal RNA". It matches the Rfam family "Bacterial small subunit ribosomal RNA", at positions 28 to 507 of the family's 1533-position model. The record is from RNAcentral.